CCCCUGGAGUGUCACCAGCUCCGCACCGAGGGCUCCUUGUGGCACCCAGAGGAAAUUUGGGGGGCUCCGAGUGGCAGCGGGACCGGCGCAGCCCUCGCGAGGGUCCCGAGUGCCACCACGUCCUCGUGUCACCAAGAGGAACGGGGUGGGGGGCUUCGAGCAAGAGCCCCUCGGGUGCCACCAGCUCCUCGAGUGAGUGCCACCAGCUCCUGGAGUGCCACCAGCUCCUUGAGCGAGUGCCACCAUCUUGGGUGCCACCAUCUCCUUGAGUGAGUGCCACCAUCUCCUCGGGUGCCACCAUCUCCUUGAGCGAGUGCCACCAUCUCGGGUGCCACCAGCUCCUCGAGUGAGUGCCACCAUCUCCUUGAGUGCCACCAUCUCCUGGAGUGCCACCAUCUCCUGGAGUGCCACCAUCUCCUGGAGUGCCACCAUCUCCUCGAGUGCCACCAUCUCCUGGAGUGCCACCAUCUCCUCGGGGGCCACCAUCUCCUGGAGUGCCACCAGCUCCUGGAGUGCCACCAAGAGCCCCCCGAGUGUCACCAGGACCGGCUCAGCCCCCCUGUGCGGGUCCCUGGUGUCACCGGGGUCUCUCUCUGUGUCACACGCCGCCCUCGGGCGUCCACCGGGACCCCCCCCGAGCACCGGGACCCCCAAAUUCCACCGUCCUCGUGCACCGGGACCCCCCCUCAGGCAUCAGGACCCCCGAGUUUCCUCGCCCCCCUCCUCGGGCACC
This 733-nucleotide long non-coding RNA is filed under the name Lonchura striata (white-rumped munia). RNAcentral describes it as "domestica (Bengalese finch) lncRNA (ENSLSDG00000006918.1)". Lineage: Eukaryota; Metazoa; Chordata; Aves; Passeriformes; Estrildidae. The record is from RNAcentral.